AUGCAAACACAAAGAAGAAAAAGUUUUUAAAAAGCCAAAAAAGACAACCACAAUAACAUUUUAACAAACAAUACUUGGUAAGUAUGAUUCUUUCUCGAAACAGAGAUUAUCGAACUAAUCUUCAUAUAUUUUUCUCUAAAUUUAUUGAAACUUACAUUAGUACGUAAUAGGAAGAAAUUGAUCAAUGCUUAAUUUUUUUUGAACAUUUUACAAAUUGAUAGAAUAAAUUAUAUAACUGACAGCGUAUCAACAACCUCAAUUUUUGUGACAAAUUACAUUGAUAAUGAAAGGUUAUAAAUUCAUAUGAUGGACUAAAUUAUCUAACUAUAGAAAUAUUGAAUAUUUUUAUGCCAAUUGUGCUUCAUAUAAUGAAUUUCAAAUCUUAGCCAUUCAAUGUUAAUUGAAAUUCGAUUUCGAUCUAUCUUUUUAGUGCGUGGUCCACCAAAUUGCCCUGAUACAAUAAUUUUUUCUCUUUCUUAGCCAACUUUGCCAUCAGCCAGAAGAUGCAUAACCACUCUCAUCCCUUGGUUGUUAAACCCUAAAAUGAAGCCCAAAUUCAGUUAUAAGGAAUAGUCAUUCAUGAAGAAUGAAAGCAUGACAUCGAUCAAAGGGAGGAAAGGGACAAAAAUCAACCAAAAAAAUUGCAAAGUGGGGGAAAAUUAAGAAAAAGGAAGGAUUCAAGUCUUUGUCUGGCACAAAGGAGGCUUCAACAGCCACUCAUGAAACUCCUCUGGCUCUCCAUCCUAAGUCCCCCAUUUCUCUCUGUUAAUGGAACAAUGCAUCAGUAAAGCAGAUCAAUGAGAACUAUCUAAUAGAUUAUGGCUUUUUAAAGGGAUGGAAGCAGUGAGGGAUCGAAGUCAUGGUUGGAAAUGAAAAGAAAUAUGGGAGUAGGGAGUUGAAACCACUAUAUAAUUUAAGGGAAAAAGAGACUUAUUUAAUAGAGACUGUAACCACUUUGAAUAUUUCUUUUGCCUAAAAAAAUAUUGAUAUAUUAUUAUUUUUAGCCUGAAUUUAAAUUUAAAAUUUAAAUAUGACAAUUAAGUGGGAUUUCAUGGAUUUCUUGCAAUGAAGGAGGGAAUGUUUUUUAGGCACUUAGAUUCUACUAUUUAUAAUACAAAGAUUUCAAUCGAAAUAUGGGAAAGGGGCACUAAUUCUUUGUCUCAUUCUUGACUCAUUUGAAAUAAAAUAAUGAAUCUAUUUCUUCGCCUAUUUGCCAAUAAAUCCAAAUUUUUGGUAGGAUAUACGAGAUUACAAUGACCCAUUCGAUUAACUUCUAAAUAAUCCGGAAUCCUAUCCUUUUAUUUUUGCUAGAAGAAUCCGAAAAUUUAUCUUUUACUUGAUCAUUGGUCACUGAGGAGUUAGAAAUAGAUCUUUCUUCGAAAGAAAGAGAAUGAACAUUGGUUUGAUCUUUAUCCUUGUGGAGCGAAAAGGUAACUACACUGGAUCUGUACGUCCUUCCCGAUAAUAUCCAGAAAUGACUUGUUUUUGGUAAGAGAUGAACAUUACCGAAUGUAAAUGUAGGUACAUGGUACACAUCGGUACUUCAGUGCAUUUCUCCUUCCGAGUCAGAAUCAAUAUGUUUUCAAAUCCUUUCCUUCAAAUUCAAGGUGGAUGCCCCCACACGAUUUUCAGCAAUCACUUGUUCGGAUCCAAUAUAUUCAUUGUUUUGAAGUAAAAGACAACUUUUUGGUGGAAUAUUCACAUUAUGUAAAAUAUCUUCACUCUCAAUAGUGACAUACAAGUUUAUAUAAAAUAGAAAGACGGGGUGUCCAUAACGUGCGCAUGUGGGAUGAACCAAAUGCUCAUUGAAUUUGAUUUUUCCUUUAGAAGGAGCUUGUACAUGUUCUGCAGUACCCCUUGAGAAUACUCCGCUAGAAUGAAAAGUUCUUAAAGUUAGUUGAGUAUUAGGAUCCCUAAUGGAUUGACCUGCAAUAAUACCUAGGGCUUCUUCCAAUUCGACUAGGUCAUCGUGAAUAGAACUUCGUCCAUAACAUAAUUGACAUAUCCAAGAUGAGAGGCUCGGUAAAAUAGACAUGUCUGUGAAGAUGCAGACUACCUGCACCUGGACAGAAAGACCCUAUGAAGCGUCACUGUUUCCUGGGAUUGACUUUGAGCCAUUCUUGCACAGCUUAGGUGGAAGGCGAAGGAAGAAGAAAAGGCCUCCCUUUCGGGGGUGGCCCAAGCCAUCAGUGAGAUACCACUCUAGAAAGGUUAGAACUCUAACCUUGCGUCAGGACUUACGGGAAAAGGGACAGUAUUAGGUAGACAGUUUAUAUGGGGCCUAGGGCUCCCAAAGGGUAAUGGAGGCAUGCAAAGGUUUCCUCGGGUUAGGCAGAUAUCUGCCCCUAAGUGCAAAGGCAGAAGGGAGCUUGACUGCAAGACCCACCCGUCGAGCAGGGACGAAAGUCGGCCUUAGUGAUUCGACGGUGCCUUGUGGAAGGGCCGCCACUUAACAGAUAAAAGUUACUCUAGGGAUAAUAGGUUGAUCUUCCCUAAGAGAUCACAUUGAGGAGAAGGUUUGGCACCUCGAUGUCGGCUCUUCGCCACCUGGGGCUGUAGGAUGUUCCAAGGGUUGGGCUGUUCACCCAUUAAAGCGGUACGUGAGCUGGGUUCAGAACGUCAUGAGACAGUUUGGUCCAUAUUCGGUGUGGGCAUUAGAGCAUUGAGAGGACUUUUCUCUAGUACAAGAAGACUGGGAUGCACCUCUGGUGUACUAGGUAUCGUGCCCAUGGUAAACGCUGGGUAGCCAAGUACGGAUUGGAUACCUACUAAAAGCAUCUUAAGUAGUAAACACAUCCCAAAAUGAGCUGCGAGGAGUUUUCUGCUCCUAUGGGGAUCAAGCGACAGAGGUUUUCAGAAUUCAAGAAUAAGGUUAUGGCGAGACCAGCCGUUUAUCAUUGCGAUAGGUGUCAAGCGGAAGUGCAUUAA
RNAcentral lists this ribosomal RNA (2928 nucleotides) under Carnegiea gigantea. RNAcentral describes it as "bacterial LSU rRNA". The stretch from base 2035 to 2844 matches the Rfam family "Bacterial large subunit ribosomal RNA", at positions 2048 to 2912 of the family's 2925-position model. Lineage: Eukaryota; Viridiplantae; Streptophyta; Magnoliopsida; Caryophyllales; Cactaceae. The record is from RNAcentral.